GGUGGUUCAGUGGUAGAACGCUUGCCUUGCAUGCAUGAGGCCCUGGGUUCAAUUCCUCAGCACCA
This 65-nucleotide transfer RNA is filed under the name Dipodomys ordii (Ord's kangaroo rat). It matches the Rfam family "tRNA". Rfam says of the family: Transfer RNA (tRNA) molecules are approximately 80 nucleotides in length. Their secondary structure includes four short double-helical elements and three loops (D, anti-codon, and T loops). Further hydrogen bonds mediate the characteristic L-shaped molecular structure. tRNAs have two regions of fundamental functional importance: the anti-codon, which is responsible for specific mRNA codon recognition, and the 3' end, to which the tRNAs corresponding amino acid is attached (by aminoacyl-tRNA synthetases). tRNAs cope with the degeneracy of the genetic code in two manners: having more than one tRNA (with a specific anti-codon) for a particular amino acid; and 'wobble' base-pairing, i.e. permitting non-standard base-pairing at the 3rd anti-codon position. The record is from Rfam by way of RNAcentral. Lineage: Eukaryota; Metazoa; Chordata; Mammalia; Rodentia; Heteromyidae.